Molecule: ribosomal RNA, 434 nt
Filed under: uncultured Gram-positive bacterium
Lineage: Bacteria
Description: bacterial SSU rRNA
Rfam family: Bacterial small subunit ribosomal RNA
Source: RNAcentral
AACGCGAAGAACCUUACCUGCCCUUGACAUCCGAAUGACCGGUGAGUAAUGUCACCUUUCCUUCGGGACAUUCGAGACAGGUGGUGCAUGGUUGUCGUCAGCUCGUGUCGUGAGAUGUUGGGUUAAGUCCCGCAACGAGCGCAACCCUUAUCUUCAGUAGCCAGCGGUACGGCCGGGCACUCUGGAGAGACUGCCAGGGAUAACCUGGAGGAAGGUGGGGAUGACGUCAAAUCAUCAUGCCCCUUAUGGGCAGGGCUACACACGUGCUACAAUGGCGUAAACAAAGGGAGGCAGAGCCGCGAGGCCGAGCAAAUCUCAAAAAUAACGUCUCAGUUCGGAUUGUAGUCUGCAACUCGACUACAUGAAGCUGGAAUCGCUAGUAAUCGCGAAUCAGAAUGUCGCGGUGAAUACGUUCCCGGGCCUUGUACACAAUC